GUGGGGAAUAUUGGACAAUGGGCGAAAGCCUGAUCCAGCCAUGCCGCGUGUGUGAAGAAGGUCUUCGGAUUGUAAAGCACUUUAAGUUGGGAGGAAGGGCAGUAAGUUAAUACCUUGCUGUUUUGACGUUACCGACAGAAUAAGCACCGGCUAACUUCGUGCCAGCAGCCGCGGUAAUACGAAGGGUGCAAGCGUUAAUCGGAAUUACUGGGCGUAAAGCGCGCGUAGGUGGUUUUGUAAGUUGGAGGUGAAAUCCACGGGCUCAACCUGGGAACUGCCUCCAAAACUGCAUGACUAGAGUACGGUAGAGGGUAGUGGAAUGUCCUGUGUAGCGGUGAAAUGCGUAGAUAUAGGAAGGAACACCAGUGGCGAAGGCGACUACCUGGACUGAUACUGACACUGAGGUGCGAAAGCGUGGGGAGCAAACAGGAUUAGAAACCCCAGUAGUCC
RNAcentral lists this ribosomal RNA (450 nucleotides) under uncultured bacterium. Its description in RNAcentral is "partial 16S ribosomal RNA". It matches the Rfam family "Bacterial small subunit ribosomal RNA", at positions 354 to 796 of the family's 1533-position model. The record is from RNAcentral.